CUGCAUGUAAAUCUGCUCGCUGAGUCCAUCUGACAGUUAAUGGCUGGUGACACUCCUGAGGCUCCCUGGGUCCUUUGUUGAACAGAAGCAGUGGGGAGGGACCUUCUGACGAACAAUGUCCCUGCCCUUCUCUGUACCUGUGAGUCAGCUCUGGUGAUGGUGCAGGAGUCCACUAGGAGAUAGCAGUGGGAGGCGACAGCCUACGGAGCCAGGGCACAGGCCACGCCCGUCGUCACUCCUUGGUGCUUUUAAAACACUGACCAUACUUGUUCUUGAAGUCUGUAAGUUUUUGUUUUUCCUAUUUUAGGCAAAAAAGCAGUUACAAGAAGUGCAACAUAAUCAGAUACUUAAAUCUCUUAAUCGUUUAGGAAUCUGUAAAGAGGUGAAUUGAGCUGGGUUCAUAGUUAUAAUUACUACAGAUGUUUAGCCAGAGUCUACGCCAGUCCACUGCUGUAGUGUGUACAGCACCCCUGGACUUGGAGGCUGAAUGUUUGCACUUUAGAUGCAUUCAGAGUCUGGCAGUUGUGUGUGGUUCGGAAUGCUGAGUCCUUUCUGGGUUCACGUGAAAGCUGACAGCCUAGGGAGCCAGGGCACAGGCCACUCAACGUCAUCGCUCCUUGGUGCUUUUAAAAUAAUGGCCAUACUUGUUCUUGAAGUUUAGAACUUUUCGUUUUUCCUAUUUUAGGCAAGGCAGAGAGAAAAAAUGAAUGGAAAAUGUAAUAAAAUCAGACAUUGUUGACAAGCUUCUUUCAGAAUCUAACAAGAGGCUUCAGCUUCAUCAUAAAUGGCUGCUCGGGCAGAGAAGGUGCCCAGCACAGCGUCCCCGAAGGCCCCUUUACAAAGAGAGUGCCACUGGUCAUGUCCAUGCCGCAGCGAAGAUCCCCCGUGCUGCAACUGAGACCUGGCGCAGCCAAAUAAAUAUUUAAAAUAUAUAUAUAUAUAUCUCCACUGUAGCGUUAGGAUUUACGUUCAGGAAGGUAUCUUGGACUUCCCUGGAUCUUGAGAAGGAUUUUGUAGCAGUUAAGAACUAAAGAACUAAACAUAUGCAGAGAGCAGCUCCUUGAAAGAGAAAAAGAAAUCGCUGAACUGAAAGCGGAAAGGAACACCACCAUCUGCAGCUCCUUGAAAGAGAAAAAGAAAUCGCUGAACUGAAAGCGGAAAGGAACACCACCAGGCAAACAAGGCCGUUUAAGGAUUCUUUCCGUUAGAGGUCUUCUGAUGGUUCUCAUGAGGAAGACCCGGCCAAAGUGCCCGAGCUCCGGGAAAUCUCAGACGAGCAGAGAGCAGAGCCAGAUGAAGGAGCUGGACGCCCGGCCGCCUUCGGUACUCACGUGACAGAGCGGGAGGAAGGUCUGUACACGGCCGGAGAAGACCUCAUCGUAUCUGAGGAAGUGAACACGAAAUUGCAAUGAGAUGUUUGUGAGCUGGUAUGUCAGAGACAGAAAACUCAUCUCCAGAUGUCUUGGGCCUCAGCAAAUUGGGAGGACAGGCUGAAAACAAUGAUAAGCUUCCAAAAAAACAAGAGUCUUUAGAGGUCGAUCCUGAAAGUGGAAAACAGGCUGUUUAAUGCUUGCAAUCAACACACCCCCUUCCUGAGUCACCACCACACACACAGGGAAGCCCUCAGCAUGUGGAACAGACGGUCCUCUGCUGCCCACCGUCCCAGGAGGGACUCAGGACAGAAAACUCCACACAGAGACCAAUAAGAUUGUUCCUUGCAUUACCAAGUGUGUGACUGAGCCUCCAGUAAAAAUGAUGACUAGGUGACUUGAAACAAGUGACCAAAUCUAUAGUCUUAUAAGACCAAUGAUUUUAAUAGUGUAACUCUACAUAUGGGAAGAAGCAACAAGAGAGAACCAGCAACAAGAGAGAACCAUUUCCUGGACCACAACAGACUGGUGGAACACCACGCAGAGGCCUUUGGCUACUGUUGCAUUAGGGGCAGGGCGCGUGCGGGGCGUCGCCGGUGCAGUGUGGCAGUGGCCCUGUGGCCACAGUCUCCUCGGGUCGCAGUCCAGCUCCCAUUUGCCCACUCGCCCCCUUUGCCGGCGCAGUCACCAAGCCUGCAACAACCAACCACGCAGCACCCCUCCUCUGUAUAAAAGGAGCCCGAAAUCUGACUGGGGGAAGAUGGCUUGUGGAGACACUGGUCCGCCAUCUUCUCCGAAUAAAAAGUCGCUCUGCCUUGCCCCAGCAACUCGCCUCUCAGUUUACUGGCCUGUCGUGCAGCAAGCAGAGCGACCUUGGACUCUGUCAAUUUUGGCGAAGCCGGCCAGGAGCCUUGCUGCUUGUGGUCAGCCCCGCUUGGGGAAUUUUUGGGUAAAGCCCUAGCAGCUGCUGGGACCACCUGUCCUGAGGAUCUUCCCUUUAAAAUUCCCUGAAGCAGCACCAGAUGCCCCAGCACUUGGCAGUGGGAGCUCCGUACAGAUGGAAUCCACGGGCUCCAGACAGUAGGUGUGUCUGAUGUGUACAACUGGGAACACACCACCCUCUCAAUUUCGGCUUUUCCUGUAAGGGAACAGCCAAGUUGUUUUGCAUUUGACUGGGGUACCCUGUUGCAGAGGGGAAUUUUUGUUGCAACUCUGUGAACCAGUUUGUUUGCUUUUGUUUUGCAUUCAUUCACGAUGGAAUUUGUUUGUGCCUUUUGUGUUUUGUUGCUCUUGAACUUGUAUCUGUCCCUAAGGAAAGCCCUUUGGGGCGUAUCUUAAAUGAAUGGGCAAAGUAUAGUUAUGGGCCUGUGACUAAAAAGAGAUGAUAUUCUAUUGUAUAGCGUGUGGCCCCAGUAUAUGUUAGGAUCAGGAGAGCAAGGUGCCCUGCUCACUUACACAAUCUUGCAGUUAGAAUUGAGCAGGUAAAAAUGGUGAGAUUCCAUAUGUAGAAGCAUGUACGCUAUUGCAUCAUGAGGAAAAGAAGUGAGACAGCUGCUGCCUUAUGGUACGGUGGUCUGAAAGGAAAACCGGGGGAAAAUCUGUUCUACAAGAGGGAGAGGGAGAAAAUGAGACUGAGAACAUGUUAUUUCAAAACGCUGGCCAAGCAGGCUGCACCCGUGGUGGUUCCGACUGCCCCCAUGCCACCAACAUAUGCACUCCUUUCAGCACCUCCUGUUUCCCCUACUUCUGGGGAUCAAUUAGAAGUUUCUGUGUUAACCUCUGGGGCACAGGGGCCUAGUUUGUGUCACCAUCUGUGACCCAGGAGGGCGUCCCAUUUGACCAGGAGCCACUUCUGGAGCACGCAGCUUCCCUUGCACUGAUAUCCUGGAGAGGAGGCCUUAAUGCAGAUGGCCAAUCAGCUGGGUUUCUAUGGACGCGCCAUCCAUUCUCAAUUUGAUUUAACUGGAAAAACCAUAACCUACAUACCUCCACGUGACUGAACUUUUCACUUCUAUCUUUGCCACUCACCAUCCCUCGUGGGCGGACAUUUACACUUUUAUGAAUAUCAUGCUUACUGGGGAUGAAAGGAGGAUGCUCUUUGACAAGACUAGAGAGGAAGUGCACUAGCUCCAUCUAGCGGACCAGGUGGAACUCCAGAAGCAAAUCAGGCAGUUCCUACUGCUGAGCCUGACUGGGAACCUAAUAACGGAGAUAUGCCGCACCUAGAGCAUUACAGGAAGUGUAUCUCAGCGGGUCUUCGAAAGGCAGUAGCUAGGCAAAAGAGCUUCAACAAAAUUCAAGAGAUCAAGAGAUACACCAAAACCCAAUGAGGACCCAUCAGAGUUUCUAGAAAGAAUUUAUCAAGCUUAUAGGCACUACACUGGUGCAGACCCUGAGGCCCCCAAAAUACGGGAAUGGUAAAUAUGACCUUCAUUGGGCAAAGCGCCCCAGAUCUAAGAAGAAAAUUACAAAGCUAGAUGGUGCAUUUGGAAUGAACCCUUCUCAACUGGUAGAUGUUGUUUUUAAAGUGUUCACCAACAGGGAACAACGAAAGGAGCUCUUUGCAAGACUUAACGCCACUCAUCUGGUGCCAGCACUGGAUUCCCGGAAGGCGAGUAGCCUGGAGAGAGGUGAGCCCCAUUGGGGAGGGAACAGUGUGCUUACUGUAGGAGGAAGGGCACUGGGAAAGACUGCGCUCAUCUAAGGAAUAAGAAGGAAAACCACAAAAGAAAGACGGGAGCCUCUCCUAUGGUAGAGAGAGCGCAACGCUCUGAAGAUGAAUAAAGCGGCCCAGGGGCUCCCUUGGACUUGAGGUGUCCAAUUCCAAUUUCCCCACAGGAGCCCCGGGUAACUUUGACAGUGGGGAACAAGUUGAUUGACUUUCCGAUAGAUACCGGUGCAACAUACUCUGUGGUAAACAGCACGGUGGCACAGAAAACAUCUCAAUCCUUCCCAGUCACAGGAGUUUCUGGAGAAGGACAAAAUCUUUCGUUCCUAUAACCUCUAGAAUGCUAAUUAGGGACCUCACCCUGAAACGCAGUUUCUUAUAUAUGCCGGUAUGUCUAAUCAGUCCCUCUUUUGUAAAUUAAGCACUCAAGCAACUUUUUCGCCAGAACAGCCUGACAUCAGGGUCCCACAGGAGCACACUGUGAGCCUAAAGAUGGCGCCCACAGACACCCCAGAAAAGGAGACUGAGCUCUCACCCACUCCACCCCCAUUCCCCCCGCUCCAGGUCUGUGAAAAGCUAAGGCACAAGUGUGGGUCGAUAGCACCCUAGGGAAGGCCAAAAAUGCAUGGCCAAUACAAAUCAUGUUAAAAAGGGACUCUGGAGGGAAUUCCCUGGUGGUCCACUGGUUAGGACUCGGUGCUUUCAUCGCGGUAGCCUGGGUUCAAUUUCUGGUCAGGGAACUAAGAUCCCGAUCCCGCAAGCUGCACAGUGUGGCAAAAAAAAAGGGAUGCGCUGGGACACCUAAUCGAAAACAA
This is a long non-coding RNA of Globicephala melas (long-finned pilot whale), 4853 nucleotides long. RefSeq lists it as uncharacterized. The record is from RefSeq and is a predicted model, not a curated record. NCBI's taxonomy places the organism in Eukaryota, Metazoa, Chordata, Mammalia, Artiodactyla, Delphinidae.